GUGUUUGCCUCCAAAGCACAUAUACAAAAAUUGGAAGGAUACAGGAAGAUUAGCAUGUCCCUGCUCAAGGAUGACAUGCAAAUUCCUAAAGCAUUCCAUAUUUUU
Small nuclear RNA from Suricata suricatta (meerkat), 105 nucleotides. NCBI's taxonomy places the organism in Eukaryota, Metazoa, Chordata, Mammalia, Carnivora, Herpestidae. The record is from Ensembl.